GAUGAACGCUGGCGGCGUGCCUAAUACAUGCAAGUCGAGCGAACAGACGAGGAGCUUGCUCCUCUGACGUUAGCGGCGGACGGGUGAGUAACACGUGGAUAACCUACCUAUAAGACUGGGAUAACUUCGGGAAACCGGAGCUAAUACCGGAUAAUAUAUUGAACCGCAUGGUUCAAUAGUGAAAGACGGUUUUGCUGUCACUUAUAGAUGGAUCCGCGCCGCAUUAGCUAGUUGGUAAGGUAACGGCUUACCAAGGCAACGAUGCGUAGCCGACCUGAGAGGGUGAUCGGCCACACUGGAACUGAGACACGGUCCAGACUCCUACGGGAGGCAGCAGUAGGGAAUCUUCCGCAAUGGGCGAAAGCCUGACGGAGCAACGCCGCGUGAGUGAUGAAGGUCUUCGGAUCGUAAAACUCUGUUAGUAGGGAAGAACAAAUGUGUGAGUAACUAUGCACGUCUUGACGGUACCUAAUCAGAAAGCCACGGCUAACUACGUG
RNAcentral lists this ribosomal RNA (497 nucleotides) under uncultured bacterium. RNAcentral describes it as "partial 16S ribosomal RNA". It matches the Rfam family "Bacterial small subunit ribosomal RNA", at positions 28 to 507 of the family's 1533-position model. The record is from RNAcentral.